This is a small nuclear RNA of Heterocephalus glaber (naked mole-rat), 107 nucleotides long. The record is from Ensembl. NCBI's taxonomy places the organism in Eukaryota, Metazoa, Chordata, Mammalia, Rodentia, Bathyergidae.
GUGUUCUCUUUGGCAGCACAUAUACUAAAAUUGGAAUGAUAUAGAAAAGAUUAGCAUGGUCCUUGUGCAAAGAUGACAUGCAAAUCUGUGAAGAGUUGUUUUUCCUU